This 26-nucleotide non-coding RNA is filed under the name Rattus norvegicus (Norway rat). Lineage: Eukaryota; Metazoa; Chordata; Mammalia; Rodentia; Muridae. The record is from RNAcentral.
CUAUAAGAUUCUUCAAUGGCCUUCUC